This 424-nucleotide ribosomal RNA is filed under the name uncultured prokaryote. Its description in RNAcentral is "bacterial SSU rRNA". It matches the Rfam family "Bacterial small subunit ribosomal RNA", at positions 355 to 796 of the family's 1533-position model. The record is from RNAcentral.
UGGGGAAUCUUAGACAAUGGGGGCAACCCUGAUCUAGCCAUGCCGCGUGAGUGACGAAGGCCUUAGGGUCGUAAAGCUCUUUCGCCGGGGAAGAUAAUGACGGUACCCGGUAAAGAAACCCCGGCUAACUCCGUGCCAGCAGCCGCGGUAAUACGGAGGGGGUUAGCGUUGUUCGGAAUUACUGGGCGUAAAGCGCGCGUAGGCGGACGAUCAAGUCAGGGGUGAAAUCCCGGGGCUCAACCCCGGAACGGCCUUUGAUACUGGUUGUCUAGAGUCCGGAAGAGGUGAGUGGAAUUCCGAGUGUAGAGGUGAAAUUCGUAGAUAUUCGGAGGAACACCGGUGGCGAAGGCGGCUCACUGGUCCGGUACUGACGCUGAGGUGCGAAAGCGUGGGGAGCAAACAGGAUUAGAUACCCCCGUAGUCC